Molecule: ribosomal RNA, 1433 nt
Filed under: uncultured organism
Description: 16S ribosomal RNA
Rfam family: Bacterial small subunit ribosomal RNA
Source: RNAcentral
CAGGCUUAACACAUGCAAGUCGAGGGGCAGCAUGUUCUUAGCUUGCUAAGGCCGAUGGCGACCGGCGCACGGGUGAGUAACACGUAUCCAACCUGCCGUCUACUCUUGGACAGCCUUCUGAAAGGAAGAUUAAUACAAGAUGGCAUCAUGAGUCCGCAUGUUCACAUGAUUAAAGGUAUUCCGGUAGACGAUGGGGAUGCGUUCCAUUAGAUAGUAGGCGGGGUAACGGCCCACCUAGUCUUCGAUGGAUAGGGGUUCUGAGAGGAAGGUCCCCCACAUUGGAACUGAGACACGGUCCAAACUCCUACGGGAGGCAGCAGUGAGGAAUAUUGGUCAAUGGGCGAGAGCCUGAACCAGCCAAGUAGCGUGAAGGAUGACUGCCCUAUGGGUUGUAAACUUCUUUUAUAAAGGAAUAAAGUCGGGUAUGGAUACCCGUUUGCAUGUACUUUAUGAAUAAGGAUCGGCUAACUCCGUGCCAGCAGCCGCGGUAAUACGGAGGAUCCGAGCGUUAUCCGGAUUUAUUGGGUUUAAAGGGAGCGUAGAUGGAUGUUUAAGUCAGUUGUGAAAGUUUGCGGCUCAACCGUAAAAUUGCAGUUGAUACUGGAUAUCUUGAGUGCAGUUGAGGCAGGCGGAAUUCGUGGUGUAGCGGUGAAAUGCUUAGAUAUCACGAAGAACUCCGAUUGCGAAGGCAGCCUGCUAAGCUGCAACUGACAUUGAGGCUCGAAAGUGUGGGUAUCAAACAGGAUUAGAUACCCUGGUAGUCCACACGGUAAACGAUGAAUACUCGCUGUUUGCGAUAUACUGCAAGCGGCCAAGCGAAAGCGUUAAGUAUUCCACCUGGGGAGUACGCCGGCAACGGUGAAACUCAAAGGAAUUGACGGGGGCCCGCACAAGCGGAGGAACAUGUGGUUUAAUUCGAUGAUACGCGAGGAACCUUACCCGGGCUUAAAUUGCAGAUGAAUUACGGUGAAAGCCGUAAGCCGCAAGGCAUCUGUGAAGGUGCUGCAUGGUUGUCGUCAGCUCGUGCCGUGAGGUGUCGGCUUAAGUGCCAUAACGAGCGCAACCCUUGUUGUCAGUUACUAACAGGUUCCGCUGAGGACUCUGACAAGACUGCCAUCGUAAGAUGUGAGGAAGGUGGGGAUGACGUCAAAUCAGCACGGCCCUUACGUCCGGGGCUACACACGUGUUACAAUGGGGGGUACAGAGGGCCGCUACCACGCGAGUGGAUGCCAAUCCCCAAAACCUCUCUCAGUUCGGACUGGAGUCUGCAACCCGACUCCACGAAGCUGGAUUCGCUAGUAAUCGCGCAUCAGCCACGGCGCGGUGAAUACGUUCCCGGGCCUUGUACACACCGCCCGUCAAGCCAUGGGAGCCGGGGGUACCUGAAGUGCGUAACCGCGAGGAGCGCCCUAGGGUAAAACUGGUGACUGGGG